CACAUUCCUGAGGAGGGGAAGCCGCGGCCGUGACCUGGGAGCUGUGAGACCUCGUCCUGCCCUGGCUGCAUCCACAGGAGCUCCGAAGCACCGGGAUGGCCGAUGGAUCCAACCCUGGGGCACCAGUUCCACCGCCGGACACAGCCCUUGGCAGCCAGCCCCGGCCAGAGCUUCAGACUAGACCUGGAAAGCCACAUCCUAUGAACCUCCUGGCUACACCUUCUUCAGUGCAGACAUGAAGCAACACUCCUGUGGCCGAGCACCGGCAGGACAAAAGGGAAGCCCCAGGAAUGACAACGGGCACAACCCCAAACUGGAGCAAACUGGAGUCUGGUACUUUGCCAUCCUGGUAUUACAGUUUACAGACAGCGUACAAAUUCCUUUUGGAGUUCCAGAAUAUCAAGGUGAGACUUUUUGGCCAAUUCCUGUACUUUUGACACCACUUCCAAUGCUCACAGAGCAUUUCAGCU
Long non-coding RNA from Pipra filicauda (Wire-tailed manakin), 470 nucleotides. RefSeq lists it as uncharacterized. Lineage: Eukaryota; Metazoa; Chordata; Aves; Passeriformes; Pipridae. The record is from RefSeq and is a predicted model, not a curated record. The transcript has 3 exons.